UGUUUAUUUUCACUGCCAAAU
RNAcentral lists this non-coding RNA (21 nucleotides) under Caenorhabditis elegans. Lineage: Eukaryota; Metazoa; Nematoda; Chromadorea; Rhabditida; Rhabditidae. The record is from RNAcentral.